RNAcentral lists this ribosomal RNA (455 nucleotides) under Burkholderia sp. Ms87. RNAcentral describes it as "bacterial SSU rRNA". It matches the Rfam family "Bacterial small subunit ribosomal RNA", at positions 89 to 540 of the family's 1533-position model. Lineage: Bacteria; Pseudomonadati; Pseudomonadota; Betaproteobacteria; Burkholderiales; Burkholderiaceae. The record is from RNAcentral.
CGGCGAGUGGCGAACGGGUGAGUAAUACAUCGGAACGUGUCCUGUAGUGGGGGAUAGCCCGGCGAAAGCCGGAUUAAUACCGCAUACGAUCUACGGAUGAAAGCGGGGGAUCGCAAGACCUCGCGCUAUAGGGGCGGCCGAUGGCGGAUUAGCUAGUUGGUGGGGUAAAGGCCCACCAAGGCGACGAUCCGUAGCUGGUCUGAGAGGACGACCAGCCACACUGGGACUGAGACACGGCCCAGACUCCUACGGGAGGCAGCAGUGGGGAAUUUUGGACAAUGGGCGCAAGCCUGAUCCAGCAAUGCCGCGUGUGUGAAGAAGGCCUUCGGGUUGUAAAGCACUUUUGUCCGGAAAGAAAUCCUCUGGGUUAAUACCCCGGGGGGAUGACGGUACCGGAAGAAUAAGCACCGGCUAACUACGUGCCAGCAGCCGCGGUAAUACGUAGGGUGCGAGCG